GGAAAUGUGCCUGAACUUAAAGGGUCACUAUGAUAAGGUGAACAUAGAGGUGUACCAACCCUCUCAUUUCCU
RNAcentral lists this transfer RNA (72 nucleotides) under Tachuris rubrigastra. Its description in RNAcentral is "tRNA-Ile". The record is from RNAcentral. Lineage: Eukaryota; Metazoa; Chordata; Aves; Passeriformes; Tyrannidae.